RNAcentral lists this ribosomal RNA (126 nucleotides) under Dasypus novemcinctus (nine-banded armadillo). Lineage: Eukaryota; Metazoa; Chordata; Mammalia; Cingulata; Dasypodidae. The record is from RNAcentral.
AUCUAUGGCUAUACCACCUUGAAAGCAUCCAAUAUAGUCUGAUGUCUGAUCUCUAAAGCUAAGUUGGGUGGGGUCUGGUUAGUAGUUGGUUUGGAGACCUUUUGGUAAUACUAGGUCUUGUAGGCU